GUCCACGCCCUAAACGAUGAUUACUCGAAGUGUGCGAUACACUGCACGCCUCUGAGCGAAAGCAUUAAGUAAUCCACCUGGGAAGUACGGUCGCAAGACUGAAACUCAAAGGAAUUGACGGGGGCCCGCACAAGCGGAGGAGCAUGUGGUUUAAUUCGAUGAUACGCGAGGAACCUUACCUGGGCUUGAAAGUUAGUGAAUGCCGUAGAAACAUGGCAGCAAGCAAUUGCACGAAACUAGGUGCUGCAUGGCUGUCGU
RNAcentral lists this ribosomal RNA (258 nucleotides) under uncultured bacterium. Its description in RNAcentral is "partial 16S ribosomal RNA". It matches the Rfam family "Bacterial small subunit ribosomal RNA", at positions 793 to 1055 of the family's 1533-position model. The record is from RNAcentral.